GACGAACGCUGGCGGCGUGCUUAACACAUGCAAGUCGAACGGAAAGGCACCAGCUUGCUGGAGUACUCGAGUGGCGAACGGGGGAGUAACACGUGGGCGAUCUGCCCUGCACUUCGGGAUAAGCUUGGGAAACUGGGCCUAAUAUCGGAUCGGAUAGCACCUUCGUGUGUGUGCUGGAAAGGUUUUUCUGGUGUGGGAUGAGCUGGCGGCCUAUCGGUUUGUCGGGGGGGUAAUGUCCUGCCACGCCGGCGCCGGGUAGCCGGCCUGGGGGGCUGGACGGCGACAUUGGGACCUAGAGACGGCCCAGGCGCCUACGGGAGGAAGCAGGGGGGAAUAUUGCACAAGGGGGGAAGCCCUGAUGCAGCGGCGCCGCGGGUGGGAUAAAGGCCUUCGGGUGGUAGACACCUUGCGCGAGAGACCAAGCUUGUUGUGACGGUACCUGGAGAAGAAGCACCGGCUAACUACGUG
Molecule: ribosomal RNA, 468 nt
Filed under: uncultured bacterium
Lineage: Bacteria
Description: partial 16S ribosomal RNA
Rfam family: Bacterial small subunit ribosomal RNA
Source: RNAcentral